ACGGGAAUGGCGGAAUUGGUUUACGCACUAGAAUUAGGUUCUAGCCUAUAUAGGUUCAAGUCCUAUUUCCCGUA
Molecule: transfer RNA, 74 nt
Filed under: Candidatus Vidania fulgoroideorum
Lineage: Bacteria; Pseudomonadati; Pseudomonadota; Betaproteobacteria
Description: tRNA-Leu
Rfam family: tRNA
About the family: Transfer RNA (tRNA) molecules are approximately 80 nucleotides in length. Their secondary structure includes four short double-helical elements and three loops (D, anti-codon, and T loops). Further hydrogen bonds mediate the characteristic L-shaped molecular structure. tRNAs have two regions of fundamental functional importance: the anti-codon, which is responsible for specific mRNA codon recognition, and the 3' end, to which the tRNAs corresponding amino acid is attached (by aminoacyl-tRNA synthetases). tRNAs cope with the degeneracy of the genetic code in two manners: having more than one tRNA (with a specific anti-codon) for a particular amino acid; and 'wobble' base-pairing, i.e. permitting non-standard base-pairing at the 3rd anti-codon position.
Source: RNAcentral